RNAcentral lists this non-coding RNA (253 nucleotides) under bacterium. RNAcentral describes it as "partial 16S ribosomal RNA". It matches the Rfam family "Bacterial small subunit ribosomal RNA", at positions 524 to 776 of the family's 1533-position model. The record is from RNAcentral. RNAcentral also lists the same sequence under 3 other names.
UACGAAGGGGGCUAGCGUUGCUCGGAAUUACUGGGCGUAAAGGGAGCGUAGGCGGACAUUUAAGUCAGGGGUGAAAUCCCAGAGCUCAACUCUGGAACUGCCUUUGAUACUGGGUGUCUUGAGUGUGAUAGAGGUAUGUGGAACUCCGAGUGUAGAGGUGAAAUUCGUAGAUAUUCGGAAGAACACCAGUGGCGAAGGCGACAUACUGGAUCAUUACUGACGCUGAGGCUCGAAAGCGUGGGGAGCAAACAGG